GGAGGUAGUAGCUCAGUGGUUAAGAUUUUGGACUUUUGAUCAGAAGAUCGAGUUCAAAUCCCAACACCACCA
Non-coding RNA from Ameiurus melas (black bullhead), 72 nucleotides. The record is from the annotation of a GenBank genome assembly. Lineage: Eukaryota; Metazoa; Chordata; Actinopteri; Siluriformes; Ictaluridae.